GCGUGCAAGGAGGAGUUUUGGGAGGCCACUCAAAGAUGUCAAAUCGGGGAUUCCAAACACUGUGCGCUGUGCUUCUGAGCGCUGCGUUGGCUUCCAUCGCCCCGGUACGCUGAAGGAAUAAGCGUGGCUUACAGUGGUAGUUCCGGAGGUCCGCGUACCCAGUCUUGGUACUGGCCGAGCUCCAGUCUGAACGGAAGCCCUUCAGAGCAACGUGGCAUUAGGACUCAUGGCAUCAUAGAAUGGCCUGGGUUGAAAAGGCCCACCACGAUCACCUAGUUCCAACCCCCUGCUAUGUGCAGGGUCGCCAACCGCCAGCCCAGGCUGCCCAGAGCCACAUCCAGCCGCAUCCCCUGAAUGCCUCCAGGGACGGGGCAUCCACAACCUCCUUGGGCACCCUGCUCCAGUGCGUCACCACCCUCGGGGUGAAAAACUUCUUCCUCCUCAUAUCUAACCUAAACCUCCCCUGCCUCAGUUGAAAACCAUUCCCCCUUGUCCUAUCGCUACCCACCCUCGUAAGCAGCCGUUCCCCGUCCUGUUUAUACGCUCCCUUCAGGUACUGGAAGGCCACAGUGAGGUCCCCCCGGAGCCUUCUCUCCUGCGAGCUCAACAGGCCCAGUUCCCUCAACCUUUCUUCAUAGGAGAGGUGCUCCAGCCCUCUGCUCAUCCUAGUGGUCCUGCUCUGGACCUGUUCCACGAUCGCUUCUUGUGCUGGGGGCCCCAGGCCUGGGCGCAGUACUGCGGAUGGGGCCUCGCAAGAGCCGAGUAGAGGGGGACAAUCACCUCCCUCUCCCUGCUGGCCACCCCUUUCUUAGUGCAGCCCAGAGCACCGUUGGCCUUCCGGGCUGCAGGCGCGCACUGCUGGCUCACGUCCAGCUUCUCGUCCACCAGGACCCCCGGGUCCUUCUCCGCAGGGCUGCUCUCAAGGAGCUCUUCCCCCACUCUGAAGCGGGCAUUCUUUUCUUAUGGCGCUGACGCAUGGGGGAUCGCUCCGCCCAACUGCGCGCAAAAGAGCUUCAGCUGAUGCGUGUCUCUUGUGUCGUGCAUGUCAAGGUUUUCCCAGACGGCACGCACGUACUCAGUACUUUCCCUGACAUCACUAACGUAGGGUUCUGCGUCCUUGCACGUGCUCGGUCUUUCUGUGGUGGCGGUCCUAAUCGGUGCCUCCGACCUUCGAUGGUCUUCCACGAUCGCUCUCCUCCGCAUUGCUGGGUGGUUGAAAUCCUCCUUCCGGAGGAGAGCUUGGAGCAUGACGGCCCUUGUAGCUGAAGCCAGGCGGCCUCAUCAGCGGGCCGGGGUAGCGCUCUUCACCUCUGUCAGUACGGCGGUGGACGCACCGGCGAGGGCCGAGACCUGUGCCCCUUCGGGGGAAUCCCCGGGGGCGUCUGGUGCAUCCACUCGGGCAGAUAUGGCAAGAAAGCGAAAAUCUACCUGAUGGCGCUGGAAGGGCGGCACUGCCCGCGGCCGGCCUCCCUUUGCUAUUUGCUUCGUUUCUUCUUCGCUUCAGCACGCGGGGCAGACAUCAGGAAUGCAAAUGACUGAUACAGCAAGCAUCAGCCGUUUCCAACGUUAGAAAUGUUGUUAGAAAGAAAGGCUUCAGGAAGCGGUGGCGCAUUCUCCCGUGGGCAGCGGUGAGGACAAAGGAGUGACAAGCAAGUAUACAUAAAGGUACAUUUUAUUAACGACUUACUCCUAUCGCUGGCAUCCAACAGUAAAAUGGGCAAAAGCCCAACCCGAGGCACGAGGCAGGGAAAUGGAAUCAAAGGGAAACCGGCAGAUGGUCGCUCUCUCUUCCCCUCCCCUUCCGUUCCAGGAAAGGAAACCAGGCCUUCCAGGCUUUGCUGUUUCACUCCACGAUGAGAGGGGUUGUGUAGAGGGAAUGCCGGAUUCCAAACGUGGAUGCAGGCGCCUGGGGCUUGAUCAGCGUCACCUGGAAGGGCGAAAAGGAAAGGCAGGUCAGCGAGGGCCCUUCUCUCCUCUGCUGCCCUCGCUCCCUGCUGUCCCGCACCCCUUCCGAUCCCAGACAGUCCCUGGUGCCUCUCCGGGCAGGGCUGAACGCCAGCGCAAAGCCGGUGCAGCUCCCUGCUGGAGCAGAGCUGGCUCGGGGAGGUGGGCUUACGGGCACCUCCUGUCUCGGAGCGGGCCGGGUGUGCAGCUGGGAGCUCGCAGCUAACUCUCUCUCCUAUGCUGGGGGCAUGCUGCUUGGAGCCCUUCUGAGCUGCGUCCCCCAGAAGAGCUUGGGAAGGACCAGCGCGUCCCAUUGAAGGGAAAAGGAGCAGAGGGAGGAAAAGCUGCGUGCUGUGCUGUCCCUCCCUCCCUCCCUCUGCUCGCAGGUGGCACGAGGGCAGGGGGCAGGCCUGCUGUCCUGCACUUGGUCCCUGCGGCCAGGAGCUCUUGGGCUGGAGGAAGCCUCAGGGGAAGGGGGAGAGGCGUGAAGGCCGCGCUUGUGAAACAGAGGGGAAGAGCUGAGCAGCUGCCUUACCCGGCCUACGCUGUAGUCUGCCGGCCCGGGCUUCGCUGCUUUGCCCUCUCCAGCUUUUGGUCGGGCUGCCAUCGUGUACGCGGGCGCCCUGGUCUUGUAGGCAUCCACAGGCACUUUGGGGAGCGCCGCAGGACCCGGAGUCUGCAAGAGAGUCACGACCAUACAGGGCUGGGGUCACAUUCAAGGCUCUCUCUUUCCCCGGCAGUCUGCGUUAAGCAAAGUUGCAGCAGGCUUGGAAGCCCCUGUGGCACAGGGGGAGCAGCCCAGGUUCGGAUGCUAACGCGGAAAAGAGGAGCGGCAGAGCUCACCUUGGCAAGGUCUUCGUCAAACCGACCUCGCUGGCUCCUUCCCCUCACAGAGUAGCAGGGGCUGGCCGAUGUGUAGACUGUGUUGGGCCCCAUCAGCCUGGGCAGCGUGUAGGUGCCAGGACCUGCAGGAGGAGCAGCAGAGAGCGUGUGCGCGAGGGGCUGGAGGAGACGGAAGCAGCAGAGAGGGGCAGCCUGCCCAGCCUGCUGGUGGGAGCAGGAGGGAGGUCUCGCCCCUCUGCCAGUUCCUCCCUCUACUCUGGCACUGGGCCAGCGCCAGCAGCUCCGAGCCUGAGCAGCCGCAGCCGCUGCGGGCCCAGAGGUGUUGGUCGUGCAAGAAAGCUUGCGGCCCCAGCGCCGCGUCCUGCCGCGCAGGCUGUGCAGUAGGCCCGCUGCUGGUGCUGAGCAGCAGCCCGUCCCUGCGGGAUGCUCAGGCUGAAGGGUCUGCCUUUGCCAGGGUCAGCGUACCUGGAGGGUGGUCUGUCCGGAGGGGCUCCCGCCGGAAGGCCAUGGACUGCACCGGUGGGCACUUGAAGACGUGCCUGUUGGCUGCCUCGGUGCGGUAGUCACCUGGGGCGGAAGAGAAGAGGAAGAAAGCCGUGAAGCGCCGGUCUUCUUCUUCUGCAACCGCACAGGCACUGUCCCGAGGAAAGGGUCUUCUCAAGAGCUGCAGAAUUGCCGCUGGGGGACACAGGCAGCACGCGGGGACGCUCUUCUGUGCCCCGCCGCUAUGCCCUGCCUUGCUGUCCCUCCCGUCAGCCCCCUGCCGCUUGUUCUUUUUGGACACGGGGUCCUUGUGCCCUCGGCCCGUGGCCCUGGGCAGCUGUCCUUCUCCGAGGGCGUUUAUCGCUGCUCAGAGCGGUUUGCGUUCUCUCAAAAAAGACCUACAGCUCCAUCAGGGCGCGAGCUGGCCCCGGGCAAACGCGCCGCCCGCUCGUCUUGUCUGGGUGAAGUGCUGCACAAGUGGUACUCACUUGGUCCGGGAGUGACGGUGGUCUUCGUCGCGGGUCGUCCCCGGAGCUGGGCGCCCGGAGCCACGUACUUCCCGUUCCUGGUGAUGGCGGGCUCCACAAAGUAGCAGGGACCUGGCCCGCAGCUCCCUGCCGCAGGCGGUUUGGUCCCUCUAAACGUGUAGGCGGGGGCACGGGCUUUGGUGGGGCUGUGGCCCACAUAACCUAGGAGGAAAAGCAGAAGAGAGCACACCCCUGUGCAGCUGCACGUCUCAAGCUCCGUUGGAACAGGCGCAGUUAGGCGCCGGGCCCUGGCCCCGACAUUCCCUUCCCGCGUGACUUCUUCCUCCAAGAGCCCUGGAGGCGAGCUGUGCCGGGCCUCGGAGCGCACAAGAGUCAGUCCCUGAGUGCAAACGGCUGCGCGAGUGCCUUGCAAAGUCACCGCAAAAAGACAGCGGAGUUUUGGCCAGCACGCUGCCUGUACCCGCACCACGCGUGCAGGCACUCCACAGCGAGAGCCCCCUAAGGGUCAAUUGUUCUGCAAGACCCCGUAACGCCUCUCUACAGCUGCAAAGCUGAGUCUGCGCUGGCCAGAAGCGGGCCCCUUUUUCCCCGGGCCACAAGGAGCAGCGCCAGCGGCACCGGCCUUCCUCGGCCAGGCCUGGCUCGCGGCUGCGCCAGGGAGCCAGGAGGCUCUGACAGAACGGGGAAAGGCUCGGGAGCUGCUCUGCCCCGCCAUGUCCCCGGUGCGCCUCACGCCCUGGGGAUGGUGGCUGUACCUGUUGUCCCCGGGAUGGAGUACUGGGGCCCGGGGCUGGGGAACUGGGCCGAGAUGAGGCCGCGUGGGCGAUGAGGUCUCCAGGUCCCCACCCAGGCUCCGUCCAUGCUGGCAGGCAUGUGCCUCCAAACCUAAAGGCAAGAACAGAGGAGUUACUGACGGGCUGCCCCAACAGAGGCCGCAGGUGAGCUUUGCUUCCCGCCCCCCGCGUCUCCUCUGCUCAGCCGCAAGCUGUCCGCCACGUGGCUUGCAGCUCCUGAGCCGGAAGGGCCGGCAGCAGUUUCUCCCGCUCACUGCCAGUCCUGCCAGCCUCGUGCUGCAUGCCCCUCGCGCACACCGGAGCUCAGCCCGCACCCUGCAGCUGGGCUCUGCAGCCUGACGUGUGCAGGAGCUCUCCCUCACCUCUCUGAGCCUUGGAGGACGAGCGCGAUGAGGCUGAGCUAGUCUGCUGCUGGGGCUGCUCUCAGGCACAGGGCACGGCGAGCGGCUGCGGGCAGCACAGCUCACAAAUGAGGCGCCUGGAGCCAGCGGCCAGCUGUCCUUGGGGAGGGCCCGGCGUCGUCAUGGCAAUGCAUUGUGACAGCACACGGGCUCCGGGUGAUGUCAUCUGUGCUGUGACAUCUCCUGGCUGGCCUGGAGCCACGCCCGCCACGCCUUUUCGGCCUCGCACCCCAACCAGUACAAAGCCGUAGCGCACGCUGCCGACACCUGCAGAUGGACUGAGCUCUCACUUCUAGCCACGUGCCGCCCGGGGCUCCUGAGGCUCGGUCAGCGUCACCUGCAAGGGAGAGAUUACGUUACUUCGAACCUACUGGAACAUUUCUGAGAAUGACACUCUGUUCUUUGGAGCUCUGUGUGUAUAGAUGUAUAUAAAAAUAAAUAUACGAGAGCCCUAAAAGCA
Long non-coding RNA from Gallus gallus (chicken), 5413 nucleotides. RefSeq lists it as uncharacterized. The record is from RefSeq and is a predicted model, not a curated record. The transcript is spliced from 2 exons. Lineage: Eukaryota; Metazoa; Chordata; Aves; Galliformes; Phasianidae.